GAUUAAGAGCUUGCUCUUAUGAAGUUAGCGGCGGACGGGUGAGUAACACGUGGGUAACCUGCCCAUAAGACUGGGAUAACUCCGGGAAACCGGGGCUAAUACCGGAUAACAUUUUGAACCGCAUGGUUCGAAAUUGAAAGGCGGCUUCGGCUGUCACUUAUGGAUGGACCCGCGUCGCAUUAGCUAGUUGGUGAGGUAACGGCUCACCAAGGCAACGAUGCGUAGCCGACCUGAGAGGGUGAUCGGCCACACUGGGACUGAGACACGGCCCAGACUCCUACGGGAGGCAGCAGUAGGGAAUCUUCCGCAA
RNAcentral lists this ribosomal RNA (310 nucleotides) under Bacillus sp. (in: firmicutes). RNAcentral describes it as "bacterial SSU rRNA". It matches the Rfam family "Bacterial small subunit ribosomal RNA", at positions 70 to 371 of the family's 1533-position model. Lineage: Bacteria; Bacillati; Bacillota; Bacilli; Caryophanales; Bacillaceae. The record is from RNAcentral.